RNAcentral lists this ribosomal RNA (468 nucleotides) under uncultured bacterium. RNAcentral's name for it is "partial 16S ribosomal RNA". It matches the Rfam family "Bacterial small subunit ribosomal RNA", at positions 28 to 507 of the family's 1533-position model. The record is from RNAcentral.
GAUGAACGCUGGCGGCGUGCUUAACACAUGCAAGUCGAACGGAAAGGCCCUGCCUUUGUGGGGUGCUCGAGUGGCGAACGGGUGUGUAACACGUGAGUAACAUGCCCUUGUCUUUGGGAUAACUUCAGGAAACUGGGGCUAAUACCGGAUAGGAGCUCCUGCUGCAUGGUGGGGGAUGGAAAGUUUCGGCGGUUGGGGAUGGACUCGCGGCGUAUCAGCUUGUUGGUGGUGUAGUGGCUUACCAAGGCUUUGACGGGUACCCGGCCUGAGAGGGUAACCCGCCACAACACGACUGAGAUACGGCGCAGACGCGAACGGGAGGCAACGGUGGAGAGGAUGACACAGCAGGCGGGAGCCUGAUGUGACGGCGCCGCGUGCGGGAAGACGGGCUGCGGGUUGUAAACCGCUUUCGCCUGAGACGGAGCGUGAGUGACGGUACCGGAUAAAGAAGCACCGGCUAACUACGUG